This is a long non-coding RNA of Tachysurus fulvidraco (yellow catfish), 2840 nucleotides long. RefSeq lists it as uncharacterized. NCBI's taxonomy places the organism in Eukaryota, Metazoa, Chordata, Actinopteri, Siluriformes, Bagridae. The transcript has 2 exons. The record is from RefSeq and is a predicted model, not a curated record.
UGCACAUGACGACCUGUAGAAGUCUUCUACACUUAUUUUAUUUCCUCUUGUCAUAUUUAUGUAUUUAAUAUUGCUCUCAAAUGGCAUUCUAUCAUUUUUUCAUUACACAAAGACAUAAACGUCGGAGUUGAAAUAUGGCGUUGCGUCACGCAGCAGAGCUGAACUUCAUAAAGCUUCAUGAAUCUCCAGAGUGGAUCUGGAGCCUGGAGGCGUAAAUAGUGAAGAACACGAGGUUUAAGCGUUAAUGAGACGACGUUCGGCGUGUGUACUGAGCAGGAAUAUCUGUAGAGUCUGACUCUGACUCUGACUCUGAGUUUACUGAAUCACUUUGGAAUGAAACGAACUCUGAAAGAGGAAGAUAAGUAGGUCGGCAACUUCUGCUGCUGCUUCUGAGUUCUGUUCCUGAGAGAGAGGGAGAGAGAGAGAGAGAGAGAGAGAGAGAGAGAGAGAGAGAGAGAGAGAGAGAGAGAGAGAGAGAGAAGAAGACUUAUUAAAUGACUUCCUCUGCUGGCAGCCAAUCAGAGUUGUAGAUGAGCUGUGAUGAAGAAGCGUCAUGGCAGCGAGACCGUAACUCAUUACAGUGCUGCGGCUCUUCGCUUCUCGUCUCCAUUAAAUCUUCGCUACGUUUUUUUUGUCUUUCUGCUUUUUUUGUGUAGAAAAAUUGUAAUAAAGCAGAAAUGAUGUGUGACACAUUGAUUUUUCAUCCUGCAGCUGUUGCAGUAUUAAUUAUGGAGUUUCUCAGAAAAGUGGAAGUGAUUUGAUUAAAUUUCAUGGUGUGAGCUGCAGGGUAACACACACACACACACACACACACACACACACACACACACACACACACACACACACACACACACACACACACACACACACACUCUCUCUCCUCUUUUUUCUACCUGAACUAAAGUUAAAUGCAACACAAAAGUGAAUGAAAUCAAUGCAGAGAAAAGGAAACUCGUUGGUUUGUUUUGUUGUUGUUUUGUUGUUGUUUUGUUGUUUCUUCUUCGUCUCGUCAGCGAUGGCGGCCGCAGACCGGACAGACAGCACUAGCGGGGCGUGACCGUACGGUUCGCUGUGGAAUGACAGCAGCGCUAAUGAGAUUAGCAAUCUGAUGAUGCAAACACAAAGGAGUGGAGGUUAGGAGCAUCCUCAGGCAGAGCUGCAACUUUGAACAACAACCUGGAGAUGAAAGGAUAAAGAGACAGACGAGGGGGAGAAGAUAAUGAGGGAUGGAUGGAGAGAGAGCGAGAGAGAGAGAGAAAGAGAGAGAGAGAGAAUAUUAGAGUUAGAUAGAAAGGUGAAAGGGAAGGAAGAGGGAGAGACAGAAAGAGAGGGAUAGAGAGAGGUCCUAAGAUUGUAAAGAAAGAUAGAAGAGAAAAGAAGGGAUGAUAAGAGAAUAAUUCAUUUGGUUUGGUUGAAAAUCCUGUCAUCUGGUAUGUAUGUAUGUGAGGACAAAGGUUUGGAGGCAGCAGGUGACCCUGGUGAUGCACUUCGAUAACACACUCGUCUGUUUUGCUAAUCCGGCUUUAGCUAGCGUCAGAAGAUAUAUAGCUACUGCUGCAUGGACAGGCCACGCCCACAUGUGACAUCAGUACCAGUAGCUGCGAGAGAUGAACGUCUUGCUAGUGUGAAGUUCGGAUUGGACGUCUUGGACCUCGUCAGUCUCAGAGCGUGGGGGAUUAGCGAGCCAUCGCUUCAGCAGAGAGAAAGAGAGAGAGAGAGAGAGAGCGAGAGAGAGAGAGAGAGAGUCAGGUUACUUCAUUAUGUCCCAUUUCUGUCUUCGUCAGCUCAUUAAAUAUUGACAGGAAUCAGACCUUCAGGGAUCAUAAAUGCUUCUCGCAUCCGUGUUGUGACACGCUGACUGACAGACCGAUUUGUCUCGGGUUUAUCCGGCAUGAUCUCUGUCCUCGCCGAGGUUUCAUUGGAUCAUUGUAGCAGACACACACACACACACACACACACACACACACACACACACACACACAGGUCAGGUGUGGGGAAUGUUAGUCCUCCAUCAGUAAUGAUUGAGUCCACAGGUUAAGCGUUCUCUGCUAAGGUUAAUUGAUUGACAGCUAGCUUUAGAGCACUAAAGGGCUUUAGCGCAGACGACAUACUCGAUUAACGUUACUAGCGAAGCCUGUAAUAAAAUAAACAUUAUUUAUGGAGCAGAAAUACAGAAUUUUUACACAAUCUCAAACCUAGUGCCGAAUCAUUUCCAUCGUCAUAUCCAUCCAUCACGGGAAGUCUUUCCUGGUAAACGUACGCUAGCUACCUCAAAAGAGUUCCACAGGGUGUAGCACAGGACAGGUGUAGCACAUGACAGGUGAACACGAUCAGGGGCGGAGUCAGAAAAAACCACGACGUUAGCAUCUGACACUCGUUACUGAGGCGGAGCCUAAGAUUUUAAGGCAAAUCCAUAACUGUUAUGGUUUAUGUUCGAUCAUCUUAAUUAAUAUUCCUGUUCAUUAUUGUGCUGAAGUAAUUUUGACAGAAAUUCUCAUAUACAUGCUAAUUAGUUUCCACAGCUAAUGCUAUCUAGUUACGUAAACUGAGCAAAUCUGACAGGAUUUCGGAGUGUUUUUCAUUCCAGACACCAGACACGUUCAAUCAGCUACAAAGCUUUAUAAUUUAGCGACGAUUCUGUUCUGAUUACUUACACACCCUCCUGUAACACUUCGGCGUUCGGGUUUUGCUAAGCGCAUCCUGACUGCACUUCUGCUGUUACUGCAACUUUACUGCAACAAGCAUCAAUCUGCUGAGAUGUUGCAUCUUCUUACCUAUUUCUUGUCUUUCUGUCUUUUUUCCUUUAAAGAAAAUAAAUAAAUAAAGGCAGCGUAAUUGAA